CGCGGGGUGGAGCAGUGGUAGCUCGUCGGGCUCAUAACCCGAAGGUCACAGGUUCAAAUCCUGUCCCCGCAACCA
RNAcentral lists this transfer RNA (75 nucleotides) under Lysinibacillus sphaericus. Its description in RNAcentral is "tRNA-Met(cat)". It matches the Rfam family "tRNA". From Rfam's summary of the family: Transfer RNA (tRNA) molecules are approximately 80 nucleotides in length. Their secondary structure includes four short double-helical elements and three loops (D, anti-codon, and T loops). Lineage: Bacteria; Bacillati; Bacillota; Bacilli; Caryophanales; Bacillaceae. RNAcentral also lists the same sequence under 22 other names. The record is from RNAcentral.